UGAGGAAUAUUGGUCAAUGGGCGAGAGCCUGAACCAGCCAUGUCGCGUGAAGGAAGAAUGUCUUAUGGAUUGUAAACUUCUUUUAUACAGGAAUAAAGUGUACUACUAGUAGUAUUUUGUAUGUACUGUAUGAAUAAAGAUCGGCUAACUCCGUGCCAUCAGCCGCGGUACUACGGAGGAUCCGAGCGUUAUCCUGAUUUAUUGUGUUGAAAGGGUGCGUAGGCGGAAUAGCAAGUCAGUGGUGAAAGUUUGCAGCUGAACUGUAAAAUUGCCAUUGAAACUGCUGUUCUUGAGUACAGUAGAGGUAGGAGGAAUGUGUAGUGUAGCGGUGAAAUGCAUAGAUAUGACACAGAACACCGAUUGCGUAGGCAGCUUACUGGAGUGUAACUGACGCUGAGGCACGAUAGCGUGGGGAUCAAACA
This 422-nucleotide ribosomal RNA is filed under the name uncultured prokaryote. Its description in RNAcentral is "bacterial SSU rRNA". It matches the Rfam family "Bacterial small subunit ribosomal RNA", at positions 355 to 774 of the family's 1533-position model. The record is from RNAcentral.